Molecule: ribosomal RNA, 254 nt
Filed under: uncultured bacterium
Lineage: Bacteria
Description: partial 16S ribosomal RNA
Rfam family: Bacterial small subunit ribosomal RNA
Source: RNAcentral
UACAGAGGUGGCAAGCGUUGUUCGGAAUUACUGGGCGUAAAGGGCGCGUAGGCGGUCUUGUAAGUCUUGUGUGAAAUCCCUCGGCUUAACUGAGGAACUGCACGGGAUACUGCGAGACUUGAAAUCGGGAGAGGGAAGCGGAAUUCCGGGUGUAGCGGUGAAAUGACGUAGAUAUCCGGAGGAACACCGGUGGCGAAGGCGGCUUCCUGGACCGACACUGACGCUGAGGCGCGAAAGCUAGGGGAGCAAACGGG